Small nuclear RNA from Gorilla gorilla gorilla (western lowland gorilla), 110 nucleotides. The record is from Ensembl. NCBI's taxonomy places the organism in Eukaryota, Metazoa, Chordata, Mammalia, Primates, Hominidae.
GUGCUCACUUCGGCAGCACAUAUACUAAAAUUGGCAUGACAUGGAGAAGAUGAGCAUGGUACCUGGGAAAGUAUGACACACAAAUUCAUUAAGCAUUUCAUCAUAUUUUU